CCCUUAGAUGUCCGGGGCUGCACGCGCGCUACACUGAAGGAAUCAGCGUGCUAAAACCAUUGUCGAAAGGCAUUGGUAAACCCAUUAAAAUCCUACGUGAUUGGGAUCGGGAAUUGCAAUUAUUUCCCUUGAACGAGGAAUUCCCAGUAAGUGUGGGUCAUAAGCUCGCGUUGAUUACGUCCCUGCCCUUUGUACACACCGCCCGUCGCUGCCCGGGACUGAGCCGUUUCGAGAAAAGCGGGGACUGCUGCUGUCGGGGCUUUUGGGCCUUGGCUUCGGUGGAAACCGCUUUAAUCGCAGUGGCUUGAACCGGGCAAAAGUCGUAACA
RNAcentral lists this ribosomal RNA (328 nucleotides) under uncultured eukaryote. RNAcentral's name for it is "partial 18S ribosomal RNA". It matches the Rfam family "Eukaryotic small subunit ribosomal RNA", at positions 1470 to 1796 of the family's 1831-position model. The record is from RNAcentral.